Molecule: ribosomal RNA, 253 nt
Filed under: uncultured bacterium
Lineage: Bacteria
Description: partial 16S ribosomal RNA
Rfam family: Bacterial small subunit ribosomal RNA
Source: RNAcentral
UACGUAGGGUGCAAGCGUUGUCCGGAAUUAUUGGGCGUAAAGAGCGUGUAGGCGGCCCGAUUAGUCCGCUGUGAAAGUUCAGGGCUCAACCCUGGAAUGCCGGUGGAUACUGUCGGGCUAGAGUCCGGAAGGGGCGAGUGGAAUUCCUGGUGUAGCGGUGAAAUGCGCAGAUAUCAGGAGGAACACCAAUGGCGAAGGCAGCACUCUGGGACGUGACUGACGCUGAGACGCGAAAGCGUGGGGAGCAAACAGG